Molecule: ribosomal RNA, 800 nt
Filed under: uncultured bacterium
Lineage: Bacteria
Description: bacterial SSU rRNA
Rfam family: Bacterial small subunit ribosomal RNA
Source: RNAcentral
AGAGUUUGAUCCUGGCUCAGAACGAACGCUGGCGGCAUGCCUAACACAUGCAAGUCGAACGGACGGCAGCAAUACCGUUAGUGGCGAACGGGUGAGUAACACGUGGGAACCUGCCUGGUCGUACGGAAUAACUGCGGGAAACUGCAGCUAAUACCGUAUGUGUCCUGAGGGAGAAAGGAGCAAUCCGCGACCAGAGGGGCCCGCGUCCGAUUAGCUAGUUGGUGGGGUAACGGCCUACCAAGGCGACGAUCGGUAGCUGGUCUGAGAGGAUGAUCAGCCACACUGGACUGAGACACGGCCCAGACUCCUACGGGAGGCAGCAGUGGGGAAUAUUGGACAAUGGGGGAAACCCUGAUCCAGCAAUGCCGCGUGGGUGAUGAAGGCCUUCGGGUUGUAAAGCCCUUUCGGCGGGGACGAUGAUGACGGUACCCGCAGAAGAAGCCCCGGCUAACUUCGUGCCAGCAGCCGCGGUAAUACGAAGGGGGCUAGCGUUGUUCGGAAUUACUGGGCGUAAAGGGCGCGCAGGCGGCUUGACGAGUUGGGCGUGAAAGGCCUGGGCUUAACCCGGGAACUGCGCUCGAUACUGUCAGGCUCGAGUGUGGGAGAGGAUGGUGGAAUUCCUAGUGUAGAGGUGAAAUUCGUAGAUAUUAGGAAGAACACCGGCGGCGAAGGCGGCCAUCUGGACCACAACUGACGCUGAGGCGCGAAAGCGUGGGGAGCAAACAGGAUUAGAUACCCUGGUAGUCCACGCUGUAAACGAUGAGUGCUAGACGUUGGGGGGCCUAGCUCACCAGUGUCGC